AAUGAACGUUGGCGGCGUGGAUUAGGCAUGCGAGUCGAGCGAGAACCGUAGCAAUACGGGGACAGCGGCGAAAGGUACAGUAACGGGUAGAUUAUCUGCCCUCAGGUUUGGGAUAGCUGCGGGAAACUGCAAGUAAUACCAAAUAAUAUCUCCGGAUCAAAGGUGUGAUUCCGCCUGAGGAUGAGUCUGCCUCCUAUUAGCUAGUUGGUGGGGUAACGGCCUACCAAGGCGUUGAUGGGUAGCGGGUGUGAGAGCACGACCCGCGUCAUUGGGACUGAGACACUGCCCAGACACCUACGGGUGGCUGCAGUCGAGAAUCUUCGGCAAUGGACGCAAGUCUGACCGAGCGACGCCGCGUGUGGGAUGAAGGCCUUCGGGUUGUAAACCACUGUCAGAGGGGAUGAAAUGCAGGUGGGUUCUCCCAUCUGUUUGACAUAGCCUCAGAGGAAGUACGGGCUAAGUUCGUGCCAGCAGCCGCAGUAA
This 483-nucleotide ribosomal RNA is filed under the name uncultured bacterium. Its description in RNAcentral is "partial 16S ribosomal RNA". It matches the Rfam family "Bacterial small subunit ribosomal RNA", at positions 29 to 523 of the family's 1533-position model. The record is from RNAcentral.